GACGAACCGUGCGAACGUUGUUCGGAAUCACUGGGCUUAAGGGCGCGUAGGCGGCCAUUCAAGUCCGGGGUGAAAGCCUCCAGCUCAACUGGAGAAGUGCCUUGGAAACUGGAUGGCUCGAGGGAGGCAGGGGCAGCUGGAACUUCCGGUGGAGCGGUGAAAUGCGUUGAUAUCGGAAGGAACGCCGGUGGCGAAAGCGGGCUGCUGGUCCUCUUCUGACGCUGAGGCGCGAAAGCUAGGGUAGCGAACGGGAUUAGAAC
RNAcentral lists this ribosomal RNA (260 nucleotides) under uncultured bacterium. RNAcentral's name for it is "partial 16S ribosomal RNA". It matches the Rfam family "Bacterial small subunit ribosomal RNA", at positions 524 to 784 of the family's 1533-position model. The record is from RNAcentral.